GGUAGUUCAAUCUGGGUGUUUCUCUGAGUCAUACACAACGUGAUAUGACUAGAGACACAUUCAGCUUGGAUGUGUG
This 76-nucleotide microRNA precursor is filed under the name Dictyocaulus viviparus (bovine lungworm). RNAcentral describes it as "mir-44 microRNA precursor family". It matches the Rfam family "mir-44 microRNA precursor family". Lineage: Eukaryota; Metazoa; Nematoda; Chromadorea; Rhabditida; Metastrongylidae. The record is from Rfam by way of RNAcentral.